This 433-nucleotide ribosomal RNA is filed under the name uncultured bacterium. RNAcentral's name for it is "partial 16S ribosomal RNA". It matches the Rfam family "Bacterial small subunit ribosomal RNA", at positions 29 to 507 of the family's 1533-position model. The record is from RNAcentral.
AAUGAACGCUGGCGGCAUGCCUAACACAUGCAAGUCGAACGAAGGCUUCGGCCUUAGUGGCGCACGGGUGCGUAACGCGGGGGAAUAUGCCCUUGUGUUCGGAAUAACAGUUAGAAAUGACUGCUAAUACCGGAUGAUGUCGUAAGACCAAAGAUUUAUCGCCCAAGGAUGAGCCCGCGUAGGAUUAGCUAGUUGGUGGGGUAAAGGCCUACCAAGGCGACGAUCCUUAGCUGGUCUGAGAGGAUGAUCAGCCACACUGGGACUGAGACACGGCCCAGACUCCUACGGGAGGCAGCAGUGGGGAAUAUUGGACAGUGGGCGAAAGGCUGAUCCAGCAAGGCCGGGAGAGUGAUGAAGGCCUUAGGGUUGUAAAGCUCUUUUAACCGGGAUGAUAAUGACAGUACCGGGAGAAUAAGCUCCGGCUAACUUCGUG